This 285-nucleotide long non-coding RNA is filed under the name Nicotiana benthamiana. RNAcentral's name for it is "long non-coding RNA (NBEN_LNC009881)". The record is from RNAcentral. Lineage: Eukaryota; Viridiplantae; Streptophyta; Magnoliopsida; Solanales; Solanaceae.
CAUUUUCUUGACAGUUAAUGGAACUCCCAAAUACUUGAAGGGUAAUUCUCCAUAUACAUAACCAAGAUGGUUGACAAUAUGCUGCUGUUUAUCCGGAGAGACACCACCAAAAUAGACAGAACUUUUACUCAAGUUAGCAAUCAUACCAGAAGCCUCAGUGAAUUGAGAAAAAUAUCUGAACAUGGUUGUGACAGCCUUCAAAUCUCCUCUUGCAAAUAACAGUAGAUCAUCUGCAAAACUAAGGUGUGUGAUAUUUAACCUUUUACAUCCAGGAUGGAAUAGGAA